UCGAUAGUCUUUCGCCCCAUGCGCAGAUUUGACGAUCGAUUUGCACGUCAGAACCGCUGCGAGCCUCCACCAGAGUUUCCUCUGGCUUCACCCUAUCCACGCAUAGUUCACCAUCUUUCGGGUCCGAACAGUUAUGCUCUUACUCAAAUCCAUCCGAAGACAUCAGGAUCGGUCGAUGAUGCACCCGUAAGGGCUCUCACCUCCGUUCACUUUCAUUACGCGUGAGGGUUUAACACCCAAACACUCGCAUAAAUGUUCGACUCCUUGGUCCGUGUUUCAAGACGGGUGGCUGAUGACCAUUAUGCCAGCAUCCUAGCCGAAGCGCGGUCCUCAGUCCCGGUCAGGGUAUUACACAAAAGGCUAUAACAUUCCCGGAGGAAUCACAUUCCUAAUGUCUUUAUCCCCCAACUAGAACUGAUGCUGGCCUCAACGAAGGGAAGUGCACCGGUGAGAACACCGGAUGAUUCCCAACGCAAAGGUCUGGUCAUAAACCCUUCCCUUUCAACAAUUUCACGUACUAUUUAACCCUCUUUUCAAAGUGCUUUUCAUCUUUCGAUCACUCUACUUGUGCGCUAUCGGUCUCUGGCCGGUAUUUAGCUUUAGAAGAAAUUUACCUCCCAUUUAGAGCAGCAUUCCCAAACUACUCGACUCGUCGAAGGAGACUUACAAAGGAUCGGCAUCCAACCGUACGGGGCUCUCACCCUCUAAGGCGUCCUGUUCCAAGGAACUCGGAAGGUACCUAACCAAAGUCAUCCUCUACAAAUUACAAUUCGGACCAGAAGGCCAGAUUUCAAAUUUGAGCUGUUGCCGCUUCACUCGCCGUUACUAGGGCAU
This 834-nucleotide ribosomal RNA is filed under the name Microdochium lycopodinum. RNAcentral's name for it is "partial 28S ribosomal RNA". The record is from RNAcentral. Lineage: Eukaryota; Fungi; Ascomycota; Sordariomycetes; Xylariales; Microdochiaceae.